This 501-nucleotide ribosomal RNA is filed under the name uncultured bacterium. RNAcentral's name for it is "partial 16S ribosomal RNA". It matches the Rfam family "Bacterial small subunit ribosomal RNA", at positions 30 to 523 of the family's 1533-position model. The record is from RNAcentral.
AUUGAACGCUGGCGGCAGGCUUAACACAUGCAAGUCGAGCGGAGAUGAGGUGCUUGCACCUUAUCUUAGCGGCGGACGGGUGAGUAAUGCUUAGGAAUCUGCCUAUUAGUGGGGGACAACAUUCCGAAAGGAAUGCUAAUACCGCAUACGUCCUACGGGAGAAAGCAGGGGAUCUUCGGACCUUGCGCUAGUAGAUGAGCCUAAGUCGGAUUAGCUAGUUGGUGGGGUAAAGGCCUACCAAGGCGACGAUCUGUAGCGGGUCUGAGAGGAUGAUCCGCCACACUGAGACUGAGACACGGCCCAGACUCCUACGGGAGGCAGCAGUGGGGAAUAUUGGACAAUGGGGGGAACCCUGAUCCAGCCAUGCCGCGUGUGUGAAGAAGGCCUUAUGGUUGUAAAGCACUUUAAGCGAGGAGGAGGCUACUGAGACUAAUACUCUUGGAUAGUGGACGUUACUCGCAGAAUAAGCACCGGCUAACUCUGUGCCAGCCGCCGCGGUAA